UCGCACUAGACGGGGAGGUAGCGGUGCCCUGUACCCGCAAUCCGCUGUAGCGGGGUUGAAUUCCUGUCUGAGGUGCGUUUCAUGUGGGGUCAGGUCUGUGUAAGUGGUGUUGAGAGCUGGGUCCUGCGCAACGGGAACCCAUGAACCUGGUCAGGUCCGGAAGGAAGCAGCCAUAAGUGGAUCCUUCCGUGUGCCGCAGGGCAGCCUAGCUUGAGCUAACUGCACGGGGCCGCCCGGAUGAGCGUAUCGACGACAGGUGUGCGG
Non-coding RNA from Aneurinibacillus migulanus, 264 nucleotides. Lineage: Bacteria; Bacillati; Bacillota; Bacilli; Caryophanales; Paenibacillaceae. The record is from Rfam.